This 501-nucleotide ribosomal RNA is filed under the name Alcaligenes sp. RNAcentral describes it as "bacterial SSU rRNA". It matches the Rfam family "Bacterial small subunit ribosomal RNA", at positions 888 to 1393 of the family's 1533-position model. The record is from RNAcentral. Lineage: Bacteria; Pseudomonadati; Pseudomonadota; Betaproteobacteria; Burkholderiales; Alcaligenaceae.
GCAUGAUUACUCCUCAAAGGAAUUGACGGGGACCCGCACAAGCGGUGCAUGAUGUGGAUUAAUUAGAUGCAACGAGAACAACCUUACCUACCCUCGACAUGUCUAGAAAUCGGAAGAGAUUUGGCCGCGUUCGCAAGAGAACCGGACACACAGGGCAUGCAUGUCGUUAGUCAGCUUGGUCGAGAGAGGUUUAGUUAAGUCACGCAGCGCGCCCAUCCCCUUUCAUUGCCAUCAUUUCAAGGGCCAUUUAAAGGGGAUGCCGGUGGCAAACCGGGAGAAGGGGGGGGAGGACGCAAGUUCUCCAGGCCCUUAUGGGUAGGGCUUCCCCAGUCAUUCAAUGGUUGGGACCGAGGGUCACCAACCCGGGGGGGGGGACCAAUUUUACAAAACCCAUCUCAGUUCGGAUUGCAGUCUGCAACUCGAGUGCGUGAAGUUGGAAUCGCUAGUAAUCGCGGAUCAGAAUGCCGCGGUGAAUACGUUCCCGGGUCUUGUACACACCGC